Long non-coding RNA from Harpia harpyja (harpy eagle), 2770 nucleotides. RefSeq lists it as uncharacterized. The record is from RefSeq and is a predicted model, not a curated record. Lineage: Eukaryota; Metazoa; Chordata; Aves; Accipitriformes; Accipitridae. The transcript is spliced from 2 exons.
CGUAUCAAUAGAUAUAGAUCACGAUCAGAUGGCAAGUCAUUGGCAUUCAUUCUCUUUCUUCAAGUUAAAGUAUUUUGUCUUCUCACAAAAACCAAAGGGAUUUGCACCUCUCUGAGUUUAAAAGAAAAGCUUGACUUAACCGAUCCCCUCUACAGUAUAAUGGUAGGAGGCCCUUUAGCCAAGGGAGAAACAGAAUUGUUUUUGCUGAGUGAACUUUGAAGGAUGUUUCAGUUCUUGUACUACUACCAAAUUAGGGCAUCAGUUAAGACUUCACGUCGAUCUUGCUACAUAAAUUUUCUGAAAGAUAGCUGGUCAUGAUGAUACAUGGCCAGGUCUCUAUUUUUGUGGCAAUGAUUUUAAAAAUUCCAUUACUUAAACAUCCCGCUCUUUUAUUGUGACUGUAGAUUACAUAUUUGGAGAGUGAUUCUGAAGCUCUGGCUCCCAGGAAGUCAGGAGGAGUUCUGCUGUUGCUUAUUUCCAGCUCAAAAUUUCAUCCUUCCUCACAUUUUUUGCAAUGCAACUACAAUGAAUAUAAUGCACACAGCUUUGUCAUGGUAUGGUUCUGGAAAUGUACCAAGAAGUUGUUUCAAGAGCAGAUUUCAUGAUCAGUUCUUUAAAGAAAAUGUCAGCAUUUGUUCUGUACGUGGUAGAGUGGGGAAGGGAGAUAGCCUGUUGGCUGAGACCUUGGUGAGGGGAUACGUGUGUCUCAUUAUGACUAUACUACUGCUAAGAAGAAUGUAUUUUCAUAUUCUCAUUAAAAUACGUUGCUUCUCCCUCGGUACAUCAGAACUAAUAGCAACUCUGUAGUAUUCCCUGCUGAAAUGCCUAGAAAAAACACAUUCGGUUGUAUCAAUGAAAUCACUAUCACAAAGAUGUAAAUCAGUCCACUUUAGUAUCAGGUUUGACAGUAGUGGAAACAUGAAGGUAAAUGUAAGGUGCUAUUUGUGCUAUUGUAGGUAAAUGUGAGGUGCUAUUUCAACUGACUGAUGAAGUUUACAGCUGGAUAGUAGUUUGAUAAAAAACUGGAUGAAUCCUGAUAAGUUUGUGAGGGUUAGAGAGUCAUACAAGUGAGAGCACCUUGCUUUUUUUAUGGAUCAUUGUUAGAAGGAGUCAAAAUCUGUCCUGGAGUGUCAGUGGCCAACGAUUUCAGCGGUUGCCUGAAUACAACAGAACUGCAUUUGGUCUGUUUGAAACAAUAACAUUGACAUUGGAAAGCAUGAUUAUUUCAGCAAACUGUCCAUAUACAAUUUUCCAACUCUUGUGUCUUUAAGGGGUUUUUGUGUGUUUUUCAUGUGUUCCGUGCCCUAGGGCAAAAGGAACAGUGUUUUCAUAAAUGUUUAUGAGCGUGAUGGUGAAACAAAAGGAGGAGUUGUAAGCUAGGUGGAAUUUAUUUUCUCCAUACUCUUUUGGUAGUGAGGGCAAGGAUAUUUGGAAGAACAGCAGUUCUCUAGAUGCAGAAAAAACAAAAUAAUAGUAUUGUGGUUUAUGAAUUAAGAGGGAUUUGGUGAGGAAGAAGAGACAAAGAGGUAUUCUUUUAUAAUGUGAACUUUGUGGUAUAUUAAGAGCAAGAAAAGAUAUGAUUUCACAGAAUAGAGAGGCAUGACAGGUUCAAAUGAGAAGUGCAGACAGGAGGUUCUGAAACCUUUAGAAAUCACUCACCUAAACCUACAAACGUUUCAGAUGUAAACAGCAAAAUGAGUCAAGAAAAUGAGAAAGGUGAAGAUGCAUAUAAUUCCUGUGCAGUUUAAACAGUAAUUGGUUUCAGGACUCAGAACUUCUCAAGCUUAACAGUGGUUUCUGUCAGGACCUAGACAAUUUAACCAGAAGGUCUCUUCUCUCAGAAAAUAGUACUACAUGAGAAUCUGUACUUCAGAACAACAUCCAAAACCUCAAAAUAAAAUAAAAUAAAAGUUUAUGCUUUGUAAAGCUUAAAAGCAUUGCAAGGCUGGCAUGUUGAGACCCCGAUACAUUAGUCUGACAAAUGUCAAUACACAUUCCUGGGCAUCCUGGACAGAAUAUUUUUGGAGCUUCUCUGGAGGAAUGGUGCUCACUAGGGGUACUACUGUAUCAGGAUGAUGAACAUAUUCUUGCUUGGUUGUUACACUGAUAUUAAAAAGAAAGUUAUAUGCAUAAUGGAGAAGCAUUUAAAUGUCUGCCAAAUGGAAAGGGAUCCAGAUGUUGUGUUCAAAGAUAAUACAACAUCUAUCCAUCUUCUUGGGAAUAAGAAGUGUGUUUAGGUCUCGGACAAAAUAAUUUUUCAUUUGCAGAGAUUGGAAUAAAAAUUCUUAUAAGCUCAAGAUGGCAGUGGAGAAGGUCUACAAAAGACUGAUAGUUACACAGUUCAUGAAUGACAAGACUACUCAGAAGAAUACAAAUAACUACAAGCAGGAUCAGCAUCAAAUUGCACUCGAUUAUGUUAAUAGGUAAUAUAAAUAUCAUAGUCAUAAUCUGUAUGCACAGUUUUCAAGACAAUUUUUCUUCAAAAAAUUCUUCAAAGAACAAGUGAGUUGAAGGAGGGGUUGAUAGGGUCAUCCUCCUCUGUAUUUAAGAAGGAUCCAAAUGGAUGGCUGAUUGGUUUAUUGUAUGUUGGGGCCAAGUGUUAAUACCUAUUCGGAUGCAUAAGCAUCCAGAAGUGCAUGCUAGUUUUCACAGAGCAAUCAUAUAGCACAACUGUCUGUACCAAUUAGAUGUUUUAAUCAUAUUUUUCCUGUUGGUUAAGCUUCAAUGAAUCAAGCUGGUAAGUGGAUUAAAGUCUUUUAUGUGCCUUGUA